This 515-nucleotide ribosomal RNA is filed under the name uncultured bacterium. RNAcentral's name for it is "partial 16S ribosomal RNA". It matches the Rfam family "Bacterial small subunit ribosomal RNA", at positions 28 to 523 of the family's 1533-position model. The record is from RNAcentral.
GAUGAACGCUGGCGGCGUGCCUAAUACAUGCAAGUCGAGCGAAUGGAUUAAGAGCUUGCUCUUAUGAAGUUAGCGGCGGACGGGUGAGUAACACGUGGGUAACCUGCCCAUAAGACUGGGAUAACUCCGGGAAACCGGGGCUAAUACCGGAUAACAUUUUGAACCGCAUGGUUCGAAAUUGAAAGGCGGCUUCGGCUGUCACUUAUGGAUGGACCCGCGUCGCAUCAGCUAGUUGGUGAGGUAACGGCUCACCAAGGCAACGAUGCGUAGCCGAGCUGGGAGGGGGCUCGGCCACACUGGGGCUGAGAAACGGCCCAGACUCCUACGGGAGGCAGCAGUAGGGAAUCUUCCGCAAUGGACGAAAGUCUGACGGAGCAACGCCGCGUGAGUGAUGAAGGCUUUCGGGUCGUAAAACUCUGUUGUUAGGGAAGAACAAGUGCUAGUUGAAUAAGCUGGCACCUUGACGGUACCUAACCAGAAAGCCACGGCUAACUACGUGCCAGCCGCCGCAGUAA